Podarcis lilfordi (Lilford's wall lizard) is the source of this 119-nucleotide non-coding RNA. NCBI's taxonomy places the organism in Eukaryota, Metazoa, Chordata, Lepidosauria, Squamata, Lacertidae. The record is from the annotation of a GenBank genome assembly.
AACUAAGUUUGUUCUUGGUAUAAGCUUUCAUGUGCAUGCACACUUCUUCAGAUACUUCUUCAGAUAUCUGAAGAAGUGUGCAUGCACACGAAAGCUUAUACCAAGAACAAGCUUAGUUG